This 82-nucleotide transfer RNA is filed under the name Angiostrongylus costaricensis. It matches the Rfam family "tRNA". From Rfam's summary of the family: Transfer RNA (tRNA) molecules are approximately 80 nucleotides in length. Their secondary structure includes four short double-helical elements and three loops (D, anti-codon, and T loops). Further hydrogen bonds mediate the characteristic L-shaped molecular structure. tRNAs have two regions of fundamental functional importance: the anti-codon, which is responsible for specific mRNA codon recognition, and the 3' end, to which the tRNAs corresponding amino acid is attached (by aminoacyl-tRNA synthetases). tRNAs cope with the degeneracy of the genetic code in two manners: having more than one tRNA (with a specific anti-codon) for a particular amino acid; and 'wobble' base-pairing, i.e. permitting non-standard base-pairing at the 3rd anti-codon position. The record is from Rfam by way of RNAcentral. Lineage: Eukaryota; Metazoa; Nematoda; Chromadorea; Rhabditida; Metastrongylidae.
GGCGAGAUGGCCGAGCGGUCCAAGGCGCCCGUUUUACGCACCUGUCCCUUCGGGGGCGUAGGUUGGAAUCCUACUCUCGUCA